Molecule: long non-coding RNA, 1080 nt
Organism: Triplophysa rosa
Lineage: Eukaryota; Metazoa; Chordata; Actinopteri; Cypriniformes; Nemacheilidae
Exons: 2
Source: RefSeq, a predicted model, not a curated record
AAACAAACAUAAGGAUAAGUACAUACAAAUACAAUGGCCAUUUUGUGGUACCUUUUUAAAUUUAUCUACAGUACAAAAAUAGUUCAAUUUGCACAAAUAAUAAACCCGAUACAAAUGAAUUUUAAGUUUCUUUUAAAUGUCUUUCUCCAUGUAGUAGUAAAAGGGCGUUAACCAUUUUUAAUAGAGUUCUUUUAGCAUAAAAACAAAGAACAAACAACGCGUGUACUUAUGUUCUUUCAUAAUAAUAAACUAAGAACGUCCAUAAAACCCAUUCCACCUUAAAGUAGAUUCAGUGGCUCAGAGGUAUGCGCUCUGAAACCAUAGCAGAUGGUUAAAGGGUCAAACCCUGCUUGCUUGCCUGCCUGCAUAUGUCAAGAUGUGUGCUGGGAGCUCUAACAAUAUCAUGAUGAAACUAAGAUGUAUGAACACUAACACCUCAUUAAGUGGUUCAGGUUUGGCCUGCUAGACUUAAAGUGCUUUGUAAUAUUGCUUAUGCAGACCAGAUAUAAAAAUAGAUAUGUAUACCAUGUGACUUGUCUUCAACUUGUAGGACCCAGUGGCUUAGUGGUAUGAGCACUGGUGGUGGAAGGGUUGUUCCAGGAUUCAAACUCAGAACAGAAAGCUCAGUGCUUUCUGAUAUUUUUCUGUACUCCAGAAUAUGAAAAAAUAAAUAUACUAUGAUGUGAGCACUGACAAGGGAUCAGGAAGUCCAGGUUUCAAGUCCAGCUUGCUUGGAGGUUGCGUACUACUUUGCAUUUCUUAUACAAUCAAAGUGGCUUUAAAAAAGAUAAACACGCCAGGAGACGUGCCACAAGUGUGCGGGACCCAGUGGCUCAUAGGAUGUAAGCAGUGACAAGGAGUAAGGAGAUCCAGGGUUCAAAGCCAGGUGGCUGACCUGCACAUGUAGACCAGAGGGUGUAACUCAAGAUGGUCAGAAGGUGUGACCAGACCAAGAAAGGUUGGAGAUGGAGGUGCAAGUGCUAUCCAAGAAAGGAGCCAGCAGUCCAGCAGCUGAACGAGGAGGAAGACCCACAUGUGAAGUCUGGAGGAUGUGACCAGAUACCCACACCGUGAAAGGGG